AGCGACACAGAGCGGGUGGUGACUGCAGCAAAGCUCCCUACAUCGCAAUAUAGUGCUGCAGCUGGAGCGGCAGGUGUCACCACGCUAAACAGAUUGCGUGUGCUGCAACGCUUCUGUGCCAAACCAGAGAAAAGGAAUGUAAAAUCAAAAUAGAAAGGACUCUGUCAUGAUGUCCGACCAAAUUUGAGUUUUCUGGCCACAAAGAGAGACCACAAAAUCUGCGUUUUCAGGCUUGAAGCUUCUGUCUUAAUCUCAGAACAGAAACCCACACCCACUGCCUCUCUAUUCCUGCAAUCUUUGCAGCUGUGCAAGUACUAGUUGUGUGCGGCCCAAUGUCUUACAUACCACUUCUGUUAGGUCUACUAGGUUAAGGAAAAAGAGUUCAUCUGGACUGCUAAGGCCCAACCUACAGAAAAAUACAACUUUAAAAGGAAUCAUAAAAAAAGUUGAGCCUUUGAGUACCUUAGGCUUUUACGAAAAUGAAUAGUAGUUAAUAAUAAACAAAUAGUAAAAUGUUAAAGUAACCUAAUCAAAUAAAUAUAAUAUAUUAUUAUUUAGUAUCCCCACAGAAAUGAAUAGUAGUUAAUAAUAAACAAAUAAUAAAAUAACAGAGUAACCUAAUCAAAUAAAUAUAAUAUAGUAUUAUUUAGUAUUCCCACUUAGUGUGUUAAGGCUUGGUUGUUGUUGUAUAGUAGUAUUAUUUAGUAUAAUUGAAUAGC
This 719-nucleotide long non-coding RNA is filed under the name Medicago truncatula (barrel medic). Its description in RNAcentral is "long non-coding RNA (MTRU_LNC002302)". Lineage: Eukaryota; Viridiplantae; Streptophyta; Magnoliopsida; Fabales; Fabaceae. The record is from RNAcentral.